Molecule: ribosomal RNA, 278 nt
Filed under: uncultured diatom
Lineage: Eukaryota; Bacillariophyta
Description: partial 18S ribosomal RNA
Rfam family: Eukaryotic small subunit ribosomal RNA
Source: RNAcentral
CGUAUAUUAAAGUUGUUGCAGUUAAAAAGCUCGUAGUUGGAUUUGUGGAUGCUCACUUGGUCCUCUUGAGGCGCCAGUGUGGGGAUCCAUCCUUGGGUGGAUGCUGCAUGGCAUUCGGUUGUCGCGCAGGUGAUGCCCAUCGUUUACUGUGAAAAAAUCAGCGCGUUCAAAGCAGGCUUAUGCCGUUGAAUGUAUUAGCAUGGAAUAAUGAGAUAGGACCUCGGUACUAUUUUGUUGGUUUGCGCACUGGGGUAAUGAUUAAUAGGGACAGUUGGGGG